This 72-nucleotide ribozyme is filed under the name Crocodylus porosus (Australian saltwater crocodile). Its description in RNAcentral is "Mammalian CPEB3 ribozyme (ENSCPRG00005012502.1)". It matches the Rfam family "Mammalian CPEB3 ribozyme". Rfam says of the family: The mammalian CPEB3 ribozyme is a self cleaving RNA located in the second intron of the CPEB3 gene which belongs to a family of genes regulating messenger RNA polyadenylation. Lineage: Eukaryota; Metazoa; Chordata; Crocodylia; Crocodylidae. The record is from RNAcentral.
AGAGUUCAGGGCCAUAGCAGAAGUGCUCAUGGCACAGCCAUGUCAGUUUCCAGUGAAUCUGUAAAUUCUGCU